Molecule: long non-coding RNA, 562 nt
Organism: Hylaeus anthracinus
Lineage: Eukaryota; Metazoa; Arthropoda; Insecta; Hymenoptera; Colletidae
Exons: 4
Source: RefSeq, a predicted model, not a curated record
AUCGUGAGAUCUUUCAAAUGCUUAAGUUAAAAAAAGGUAAUUAUUGGAACGUAUUGAAAACACUAGAUAUCUAUACUAACUAUACUAUACUAUACUACUCAUGUAAAAAUUCCUUAUGAAAAUUUGGACCGAAGUAGUGGCAGAUGAUAUAUCGAGUUACCCCACUUUACUGACCUCAUCCUUCUGGUGAACGUUGCAUUUUAUUUGCGCGCUUCGUCGCAACUUCGUUAUUUCCUCAGCGUUCCAUCGCCUGGCUAGUAGUAAUAACACCUGCGAUAGCGACGCCCGCCUUGCUGUGCAACACUUUGUAAGGGUCGUAUUCAGCGUAAUUACUGAGGUCAUCGAUAUUGAUCAAUAUCUCGGACCUGGAGCUGAUCUUGUUGGACACUAGAGCUGGCCAGAGGUUGAAUCCGUCGAUGUGCCCAAGAUAGCAACGUGGGAAGCCAAUCGGCGACAAACAUCAUCUGAUUCGAGACCCUUCGCGACUUCUUGAUCAAGGGACUCCAAAUAGCCGCCACUCCUCUCACUCCGCCUUCCCAAGGGCUAUCCUUUAUCUGGAAGA